CACUUUGAUUUGAGUUGAGUCUUGGUUCACCAAUCUACUAGGCUUUGAAUUUCAUGGUUAAUGUUUUGUUUUAAGUGCAUACAAGCAUGAUUCCGCCUUUUAAUUGUUAAUUGCAUGCUAUAGAUGUUGCUUAAAUGAACAUGUUUUUCACAAAAUUUCCUUCAGAUGCCAGCUGUUUGAGCAACUACGAUUUAGAGUGACUUGUUCUCGAUCUGAGUUGGUGGAAUUCAAGGGAAAUCUAUGAGAUUCAUGUGGGAUUUCUAAUGACUAGCAUGCAUAUACAAUUCAAAAUUUAUAUACGAAAGCAACGGAAGCAUGUUAUCAAAUAAUAUCAAAGCUAUAGUCAUGCAAAUCCCCUUGAAGGUUCAUAGGUUUAUAUAUCAUGCAUCAAAAUAUUUAAGUAAAGAACAAAGUAUAGGAAUAGAUCUAUACCUCUUGAUCUAGAUUUUAGACCAAGGAUGGACCACCUCCAAGUCCUUUGUUCCUUGAACUCCUUGAGCCUAGCCUCCCUCCUUGCCUCCUCCACUUUGUUAGUAUGAGUGCUCCUUUGGUUCUCCUUUAGUCUCCAAAGUAGAAGACCUCUAAAGAUCCACACCCACUAGUGUAGUGAGAUGAAUGGAGGAAUGACCAAAAGGGUGAAAAGAUGAUUAGCUAAAAUCACCCUUAAGGUGGCCGGCCUUUGGUGUUGAAGAGAGAGUAAUUUUCUUUUUCUCUUUAGUUGUUUUGAACACACAAAAACCCUAUGUAAAAAUAUCUCUAUAAAGUUCCUUAUAUAGACAAAAAGAAACCUAGUCAACAACUUGACUUUCACUCUCUCCCUUUCCCUUUAAGUGGCCGGCCUUUAGUGUUUGGUUUGGGCUUUGGGCUUUUAUUAUUUCAAGUCAUCCUAUGCUUAAAUAAAAGCCCAAUGGGUCUAGGCCCAAUGGGCCCGAUUAAACCCGAACGUUUCUUUAAGCCCAAAACGAUCUUAUAUCGCUUUUAUGAUUUCAUUAGACUUUCUAAAUAAUCACAACACUUAAUUAAUCCAAUUAAUUAUUUCCAUCAUCCAUUAGUGGUAUCACUACAAGAGUGUAUCGGUGUACAAUCAUUUUAGGUUCUAAUUAGCAAGGCAG
Molecule: long non-coding RNA, 1112 nt
Filed under: Malus domestica (apple)
Lineage: Eukaryota; Viridiplantae; Streptophyta; Magnoliopsida; Rosales; Rosaceae
Description: long non-coding RNA (MDOM_LNC020159)
Source: RNAcentral